Eriocheir sinensis (Chinese mitten crab) is the source of this 1679-nucleotide long non-coding RNA. RefSeq lists it as uncharacterized. Lineage: Eukaryota; Metazoa; Arthropoda; Malacostraca; Decapoda; Varunidae. The record is from RefSeq and is a predicted model, not a curated record. The transcript is spliced from 4 exons.
GGCUCGUUAGCCGUGGUAGGCAAUUCACCUAGGAGAGCAAACUCUAAACAAACCCGGGCAGGUGAGGCUCGUUAGCCGUGGUAGGCAAUUCACCUAGGAGAGCAAACUCUAUACAAACCCGGGCAGGUGAGGCUCGUUAGCCGUGGUAGGCAAUUCACCUAGGAGAGCAAACUCUAUACAAACCCGGGCAGGUGGAGGUCGUUAGCCGUGGGAGGCAAUUCACCUAGGAGAGCAAACUCCGAACAAUAAACCCGGGCAGGUGGAGCUCGUCAGCCGUGGUAGGCAAUUCACCUAGGAGAGCAAACUCUAAACAAACCCGGGCAGGUGAGGCUCGUUAGCCGUGGUAGGCAAUUCACCUAGGAGAGCAAACUCUAUACAAACCCGGGCAGGUGAGGCUCGUUAGCCGUGGUAGGCAAUUCACCUAGGAGAGCAAACUCUAUACAAACCCGGGCAGGUGAGGCUCGUUAGCCGUGGUAGGCAAUUCACCUAGGAGAGCAAACUCCGAACAACAAACCCGGGCAGGUGGAGCUCGUCAGCCGUGGUAGGCAAUCUGCCUAGGAGAGCAAACUCCGAACAAUAAACCCGGGCAGGUGGAGCUCGUCAGCCGUGGUAGGCAAUCUGCCUAGGAGAGCAAACUCCGAACAAUAAACCCGGGCAGGUGGAGCUCGUCAGCCGUGGUAGGCAAUCUGCCUAGGAGAGCAAACUCCGAACAAUAAACCCGGGCAGGUGGAGGUCGUCAGCCGUGGUAGGCAGUCUGCCUAGGAGAGCAAACUCCGAACAAUAAACCCGGGCAGGUGGAGGUCGUCAGCCGUGGUAGGCAAUUCACCUAGGAGAGCAAACUCCGAACAAUAAACCCGGGCAGGUGGAGGUCGUCAGCCGUGGUAGGCAAUCUGCCUAGGAGAGCAAACUCUAAAUAAACCCGGGCUUGUGGUGCUCGUUAUACUGUCGUAGACAAUCCACGCGAUGGGAACACCAAAGAAAAGGAAAAUAAAAAAGAACACCAGAAAAAUGGAAAAUACAGAAACGAAACAUCAAGAAAAGAAACAAAAACAUCAUCCACCUUUAGGCCCUAACAUCGCCAAAAUUAUGGACGGGUCUCUUCUGGGGAGAAAGCGGCUCAUCCAGACCAAAGAACAUCAACAAAAGGAUGAUAUGAAUAAAUGAACAUAAAAAAAAACAAAGAAAAACACAUCAAGGAAAGAAAAAUAUAACAAACAUCAUCCACCUUCCGGCCCUGACUAACAUCACCAAAAUUAUGGGUGGGUCUCUUCUGGGGAGAAAGCAGCUCACCAAGACCAAAGAACAUCAACAAGGGAUGAUAUAGAAAAGAACACCAAAAAAAUAUGGAAAAAGAACAGAAAAAACAUCGAAAAAGAAAAGCAACAGAAAUAAAUGAGCAACAUCGAGAAAAGAGAAAUACAAAGAAACAUCAUCCACCUUUCGGUCCCAAACAACAUCACCAAAAUUAUGGAUGGGUCUCUUCUGGGAGGAAAGCGGCUCAUCCAGACCAAGGAACAUCAACAAAAGGAUGAUGGGAAAAAAAUAACAACAAAAAACAUCAAAAAGAAGUAAAAAGAAAAAGAACAGGAAAACAUCGAAAAAGAAAACAAAAGCAAUAAAAAGAACGAAAAACACGACAUCAAGAAAAUAAAAUAAAACAAACAUCAUCCACCUUUCGG